AGAAUAUAGAUAGAAUUUUUUAAGGACUAUGAUUGUGAUAUCUUGUACCAUCCGGGUAAGGAAAACGUGGUAGCUGAUGCAUUCAGCAGAAAAAGUGCAGGUAUCUUAACCCAUUUGAUGGUCUCAGAGUGCAGGUAAAUUAGGACCACACAACAGGUUCGACUUCAGGAAUUGAGGAGAGUCACAUGUUUGGGCCAUUUGACCGUCUAACCUGAGUUAAUCCAGAGGAUAAGGGAAACUCAGUCAGCUGAUCCUGCCCUAGUAGCCCUCAAGAACAAUGCAUAACAGGGAGUUAGCAUAGAAUUCUAAGUCUCCGCCGAUAGGUU
RNAcentral lists this long non-coding RNA (326 nucleotides) under Carica papaya (papaya). RNAcentral describes it as "long non-coding RNA (CPAP_LNC013939)". The record is from RNAcentral. Lineage: Eukaryota; Viridiplantae; Streptophyta; Magnoliopsida; Brassicales; Caricaceae.